This 467-nucleotide ribosomal RNA is filed under the name uncultured bacterium. RNAcentral's name for it is "partial 16S ribosomal RNA". It matches the Rfam family "Bacterial small subunit ribosomal RNA", at positions 28 to 506 of the family's 1533-position model. The record is from RNAcentral.
GACGAACGCUGGCGGCGUGCUUAACACAUGCAAGUCGAACGGAAAGGCCCUGCUUUUGUGGGGUGCUCGAGUGGCGAACGGGUGAGUAACACGUGAGUAACCUGCCCUUGACUUUGGGAUAACUUCAGGAAACUGGGGCUAAUACCGGAUAGGAGCUCCUGCUGCAUGGUGGGGGUUGGAAAGUUUCGGCGGUUGGGGAUGGACUCGCGGCUUAUCAGCUUGUUGGUGGGGUAGUGGCUUACCAAGGCUUUGACGGGUAGCCGGCCUGAGAGGGUGACCGGCAACAUGGGAAUGGAGAUACGGCCCAGACUCCUACGGGGGGCAGCAGUGGGGAUUUUUGCACAAGGGGCGGAAGCCUGAGGCAGAACCGCCGCGUGGGGGAUGACGGCCUUCGGGUUGUAAACCGCUUUCGCCUGUGACGAAGCGUGAGUGACGGUAAUGGGUAAAGAAGCACCGGCUAACUACGU